RNAcentral lists this ribosomal RNA (506 nucleotides) under uncultured bacterium. RNAcentral describes it as "partial 16S ribosomal RNA". It matches the Rfam family "Bacterial small subunit ribosomal RNA", at positions 29 to 523 of the family's 1533-position model. The record is from RNAcentral.
AGUGAACGCUGGCGGUAGGCCUAACACAUGCAAGUCGAACGGCAGCACAGAGGAGCUUGCUCCUUGGGUGGCGAGUGGCGGACGGGUGAGGAAUACAUCGGAAUCUACUCUGUCGUGGGGGAUAACGUAGGGAAACUUACGCUAAUACCGCAUACGACCUACGGGUGAAAGCAGGGGAUCUUCGGACCUUGCGCGAUUGAAUGAGCCGAUGUCGGAUUAGUUAGUUGGCGGGGUAAAGGCCCACCAAGGCGACGAUCCGUAGCUGGUCUGAGAGGAUGAUCAGCCACACUGAAACUGAGACACGGUCCAGACUCCUACAGGAGGCAGCAGUGGGGAAGAUUGGACAAUGGGCGCAAGCCUGAUCCAGCCAUACCGCGUGGGUGAAGAAGGCCUUCGGGUUGUAAAGCCCUUUUGUUGGGAAAGAAAUCCAUCUGGUUAAUACCCGGGUGGGAUGACGGUACCCAAAGAAUAAGCACCGGCUAACUUCGUGCCAGCCGCCGCCGUAA